GACGAACGGCUGGCGGCGUGGAUUAGGCAUGCAAGUCGAACGGUAGGAUACCUUCGGGUAUCUGAGAGUGGCGAACGGGUGAGUAACACGUAGGUGAUCUACCCUCAAGAUUGGGACAACCCAGGGAAACUUGGGCUAAUACCGGAUGAAAGCAGCAGUGAUGUUGUUUGAAAGGUGGCGUAAGCUGCCGUUUGGGGGAUGAGCCUGCGCUCUAUUAGUUAGUUGGCGGGGUAAAGGCCCACCAAGGCGAUGAUAGAUAGGCGGCCUUAACGGGUGGUCGCCCACACUGGGAUUGAGAUACGGCCCAGACUCCUACGGGAGGCAGCAGUCGAGAAUAGUCUACAAUGGCCGAAAGGCUGAUAGUGCGACGCCGCGUGAACGAAGAAGCCCUUCGGGGUGUAAAGUUCUUUUAUAUGUGAGCAGUGCUUUCUAUGUGAACAGCAUGGGGAGAGAGAUAUUAGCAUAUGAAUAAGCAACGGCUAACUCCGUG
This 490-nucleotide ribosomal RNA is filed under the name uncultured bacterium. RNAcentral's name for it is "bacterial SSU rRNA". It matches the Rfam family "Bacterial small subunit ribosomal RNA", at positions 35 to 507 of the family's 1533-position model. The record is from RNAcentral.